CUGACCGCAACGGAGAAUAAAAUGCUUUAUUUAGCCACAGAACAGGUACAGCUCUGGCAGCAUCAGUGAAGGUUUCCCCACACUGCCUCAUCAAUAAGCUUCAGACUUGAACUGGAAGGAUUAUUCCUCUAGAUGAUGUGAUAGUUUUUGUCUAUAUCAUCUGAUGAUUGCAUCU
Chelonoidis abingdonii (Abingdon island giant tortoise) is the source of this 175-nucleotide unclassified non-coding RNA. Lineage: Eukaryota; Metazoa; Chordata; Testudines; Testudinidae. The record is from Ensembl.